This 253-nucleotide ribosomal RNA is filed under the name uncultured bacterium. RNAcentral describes it as "partial 16S ribosomal RNA". It matches the Rfam family "Bacterial small subunit ribosomal RNA", at positions 524 to 776 of the family's 1533-position model. The record is from RNAcentral.
UACAGAGGUCUCAAGCGUUGUUCGGAUUCAUUGGGCGUAAAGGGUGCGUAGGUGGCGCCGUAAGUCGGGUGUGGAAUUUCGGAGCUUAACUCCGAAACUGCAUUCGAUACUGCGGUGCUUGAGGACUGGAGAGGAGACUGGAGUUCAUGGUGUAGCAGUGAAAUGCGUAGAGAUCAUGAGGAAGACCAGUGGCGAAGGCGGGUCUCUGGACAGUUCCUGACACUGAGGCACGAAGGCCAGGGGAGCAAACGGG